RNAcentral lists this ribosomal RNA (358 nucleotides) under Dielma fastidiosa. RNAcentral's name for it is "bacterial SSU rRNA". It matches the Rfam family "Bacterial small subunit ribosomal RNA", at positions 1 to 352 of the family's 1533-position model. Lineage: Bacteria; Bacillati; Bacillota; Erysipelotrichia; Erysipelotrichales; Erysipelotrichaceae. The record is from RNAcentral.
CAAAUGGAGAGUUUGAUCCUGGCUCAGGAUGAACGCUGGCGGCAUGCCUAAUACAUGCAAGUCGAACGAAGUGAAGAUAGCUUGCUAUUGGAACUUAGUGGCGAACGGGUGAGUAACACGUAGAUAACCUGCCUGUAUGACCGGGAUAACAGUUGGAAACGACUGCUAAUACCGGAUAGGCAGAGAGGAGGCAUCUCUUCUCUGUUAAAGUUGGGACACAACGCAAACAGAUGGAUCUGCGGUGCAUUAGCUAGUUGGUGAGGUAACGGCCCACCAAGGCGAUGAUGCAUAGCCGGCCUGAGAGGGCGAACGGCCACAUUGGGACUGAGACACGGCCCAAACUCCUACGGGAGGCAGC